This is a long non-coding RNA of Cloeon dipterum, 416 nucleotides long. RefSeq lists it as uncharacterized. The transcript is spliced from 3 exons. NCBI's taxonomy places the organism in Eukaryota, Metazoa, Arthropoda, Insecta, Ephemeroptera, Baetidae. The record is from RefSeq and is a predicted model, not a curated record.
UUGACACUUCAUUUUUCCUGAUGCCGAUCGCCGCAACGCAGUUGCAGGCUGCAAAGAAUUGUCUCUCGAUGAGCAUGACGCUCAUUUCUAUGAUGGACAUUACAAAGUUUGACUUUAUUCAUAGGCUUAUUUCAGAUCUAAACAUUUCGGCAAUUUGGACCGCUGGUUCGAACGAAGGAAACGGCUCUUGCGACGCGGACGCUUUACUCUCAUUUGCCUGGUGCAGGAAAAACGUCGAAUUAGAUGCAGCAAUCCAGGCAAAAAUCACCAAGCCGGUGUCUCUGGUUGAACUUGCUCAAAAGGCGUUGGCACUUUCUAUUAAAAAGUCUCUGACUGCACUUCCAUCCUCAUCGAAACUUCCGUAUUUGUGCGAACCAAAUGCAGAUUUACGCAAAGACAGUUGUUCCACCUUGAAA